Molecule: unclassified non-coding RNA, 303 nt
Organism: Cricetulus griseus (Chinese hamster)
Lineage: Eukaryota; Metazoa; Chordata; Mammalia; Rodentia; Cricetidae
Gene: 7SK
Rfam family: 7SK RNA
About the family: 7SK was discovered as an abundant small nuclear RNA in the mid-70s but a possible function has only recently been suggested.
Source: Ensembl
GGGUGUGAGGACGAUCUGGGUUUCUAUCAUUCACUGAUCCAAGGUUGAUUCAGUUGACCUGCCUGGGCAGGCAGGUGGUUCACUCCUCUUUCACCUGUCUCUCUGGUCCCUCCCUCCUUGAGAUCUUCCUGACACAAUAGAGAGGAAGACUGCUUUUUAAUCAAGGCUGUAUGAGGAGUUGUACUCCCUACUAGAACCUCCACACAAGCUCCCAGGGACCAUGCUUUGAGAACACUUGAUGGCCUUGUAUUCUCAUAGCUUAGCCAUGGGAUUGUUGUGAAGACUACUAGAAGCAUUCAUCAU